Molecule: long non-coding RNA, 562 nt
Organism: Cyprinus carpio carpio
Lineage: Eukaryota; Metazoa; Chordata; Actinopteri; Cypriniformes; Cyprinidae
Source: Ensembl
GGGGGAUUGCCUCGCGAGUGGGCGGGAAAAUGAGACCGCGAAAAAGCAAGUAGCGAGGCGCGCUCUAUAGCGGAACGUUCUCGUGCGGUUACCAUGACGCUGAGAGUGGGUGAAUCCCGCCCUCUCGCGCUGUUCUGACCGCUGGCUUGGUAUUUGUCUGAGCUUCCCCUGGACCAGCUUCAUUCCUUGGACCAGCCCUGGAUUUAACAUCUGGUAUGCCAUCCACAGGAAGAUGAUUUGGGAUCCAGAUGAACCUAUUUUUGACCUUAGUCAUAAUGUGACCCAUAAAAAGUACUUUGUCAAAAGAUUACAGAUCAUUCCAAAUAGAGGGGCUUUCCAGCACCAAACACAAAGACUCUCGAGAUACAGCAAAGACAGUGUGACAUCAGCUCUGAGGAACUGGAAGAAGCUGCUGUCAUGUGAUGCUGAGUCAAGAUGAGCUCAUGAAAAACAAGGCACCUGACAUGCAUACUGUCUUACUCCAGAUAUUUGAAGCUUAUUGCCACAUGCUGGGAUGGCUGAUCUGCUCAUCACAUUUGUGCUGAUGUAAUUUACAGGAAAG